Molecule: long non-coding RNA, 636 nt
Organism: Mustela erminea (ermine)
Lineage: Eukaryota; Metazoa; Chordata; Mammalia; Carnivora; Mustelidae
Exons: 3
Source: RefSeq, a predicted model, not a curated record
GUGCCUGCCACAGGCUUUCAUACCUGGUCCAGAGGAGCUCGAAGGUCCCUGGGAAUUCUGCCACUUGUAAUUCUGUGACUCAGUGCCAUAUUGCUUUAUCUGUGCUUUGUCUAGCAUGUCAGUAGCCAUCACCUGAGAAAGUUUCUCAGUUACUGUGUUUUCAGAGAUGUCUGCUGGACGUGGCACGGUGGGCAGACGCUCCUGCCUGACGGGGAAGCCAGCGAAGCUCAUCGGAUGUGGGGCGUGACGAGAUGGACCUCCAAGAUGAAGCCCGAGCCUGCCUGCUGCCAGCCUGGGGUCAGAGGCUGGGGCAAGGGCAAGGACCUCUGGGUAGUGGUGGCAGAUACACCUCAAAGACACCCCUUGAAGCUGCGGCUGCCACACCCAGAGGCGGCCGUUGGGGCCACCGCUGGGAAGGCACUGCCUUGACCAAGGGCUGCAGAGCCCAGGGAUGUUCGUCCAGCCCGUCGGCUCAGGUUGGGCCCUCGGGUCCCUUAGUGCCUACAUUCACAGAAACCAAGAGGCAAAACAAGAGCCCCACCUCAGGCUCCACUUGUGGGAAUGUACAUAGGGCCGCUGCCAUGGGAAACAGUAUGAAGGUUCCUCAAAAAAUUAAAACCAGAAUUACAAUAUGAG